Long non-coding RNA from Onychostoma macrolepis, 319 nucleotides. RefSeq lists it as uncharacterized. The transcript has 3 exons. Lineage: Eukaryota; Metazoa; Chordata; Actinopteri; Cypriniformes; Cyprinidae. The record is from RefSeq and is a predicted model, not a curated record.
CACAGAUGAAAGUCGAAGUGCAGGCUCUGACCGGCCAUUGAGCUCAGUAACAAAUAUAAGGAACUCUAUUCGAGACCCUGGAUAUUGUCGAUACCACUGCAAGGUGUUAACACGUCCACUGUAAUCACAGAACAAUUACAGACUAUUGUGGUGAUUAUGUGCUGGAUUUUGAGACUAGAUGAACUUUCCUGUCACUGUGGGCUGCAGAGCACAGUAGUACAGCACAGAGUCUGAUACAGCAGCAGAGGAGAUGAUCAGAUCCACAUGAUUGUUAUUAUGGAGACUGGUGGACAUCUGUGGAAGAGGUGGACUAGCGGGC